UGGGGAAUAUUGGGCAAUGGAGGCAACUCUGACCCAGCCAUGCCGCGUGGGUGACGAAGGUCUUCGGAUUGUAAAGCCCUUUCGGCGGGGACGAUGAUGACGGUACCCGCAGAAGAAGCCCCGGCUAACUUCGUGCCAGCAGCCGCGGUAAUACGAAGGGGGCUAGCGUUGUUCGGAAUUACUGGGCAUAAAGGGCGUGUAGGCGGCCCGCUAAGUCAGGUGUGAAAUUCCUGGGCUCAACCCAGGACGUGCUCUUGAGACUGACGGGCUUGAGUCCGGGAGAGGAUGGUGGAACUCCCAGUGUAGAGGUGAAAUUCGUAGAUAUUGGGAAGAACACCCGUGGCGAAGGCGGCCAUCUGGACCGGUACUGACGCUAAGGCGCGACAGCGUGGG
Molecule: ribosomal RNA, 393 nt
Filed under: uncultured bacterium
Lineage: Bacteria
Description: bacterial SSU rRNA
Rfam family: Bacterial small subunit ribosomal RNA
Source: RNAcentral